GAGAAACCCAAAAGAUCGAAUGGGGAGAUUCAUCGUCAGCGGCUUUGGCUUCCGUGCGGCUUGCGAUGGCGCUGGAUUUCGGUUCAGCGUCACGCUGUCGCUGCGGCAUGUCCGGAGUCGUCGGCGUGCACUUCUCCCCUAGUAGGACGUCGCGACCCGUUGGGUGUCGGACCGAUGGCCGGUCGGUCGUCUGUUGCGCUCACGCGCUUCAGACCGAUUCGGUCGAAAGUCCGGCUGCCCGGCGGUAUUGAACGAUAUGACAUGGUAUCGGGCCGCAUCGAAUGCGUUCCUGGCUCGUCGGCAGGCUCGUCUCGCUCGGAUUUACGGACCUAGUGCCGUUGCCGGGCGCUUGGCGUGGCUGUUAGUCGACGAUGUCCUCGGACUGGCUCUUACCCGUCGGCGACGCUACUGCUUUGGGUACUUUC
Molecule: ribosomal RNA, 425 nt
Filed under: Necremnus hippia
Lineage: Eukaryota; Metazoa; Arthropoda; Insecta; Hymenoptera; Eulophidae
Description: eukaryotic LSU rRNA
Source: RNAcentral